UACGUAGGGGGCUAGCGUUGUCCGGAAUCAUUGGGCGUAAAGCGCGUGUAGGCGGUUCGGUAAGUCCGCUGUGAAAGUCGGGGGCUCAACCCUCGAAAGCCGGUGGAUACUGUCGGACUAGAGUGCGGAAGAGGCGAGUGGAAUUCCUGGUGUAGCGGUGAAAUGCGCAGAUAUCAGGAGGAACACCGGUGGCGAAGGCGGGUCUCUGGGCCGAUACUGACGCUGAGGAGCGAAAGCGUGGGGAGCGAACAGG
RNAcentral lists this ribosomal RNA (253 nucleotides) under uncultured bacterium. RNAcentral's name for it is "partial 16S ribosomal RNA". It matches the Rfam family "Bacterial small subunit ribosomal RNA", at positions 524 to 776 of the family's 1533-position model. The record is from RNAcentral.